GCCGGAGUGGCGGAAUGGCAGACGCGCAAGGUUUAGGACCUUGUAACGAAAGUUGUGGGGGUUCAACUCCCCCCUCCGGCACCA
RNAcentral lists this transfer RNA (84 nucleotides) under candidate division WWE3 bacterium CG08_land_8_20_14_0_20_43_13. RNAcentral describes it as "tRNA-Leu". It matches the Rfam family "tRNA". From Rfam's summary of the family: Transfer RNA (tRNA) molecules are approximately 80 nucleotides in length. Their secondary structure includes four short double-helical elements and three loops (D, anti-codon, and T loops). Lineage: Bacteria; candidate division WWE3. The record is from RNAcentral.